This 237-nucleotide ribosomal RNA is filed under the name Streptomyces sp. RSBAUOCAS0002A. RNAcentral's name for it is "partial 16S ribosomal RNA". It matches the Rfam family "Bacterial small subunit ribosomal RNA", at positions 273 to 522 of the family's 1533-position model. The record is from RNAcentral. Lineage: Bacteria; Bacillati; Actinomycetota; Actinomycetes; Kitasatosporales; Streptomycetaceae.
GCGACGACGGGUAGCCGGCCUGAGAGGGCGACCGGCCACACUGGGACUGAGACACGGCCCAGACUCCUACGGGAGGCAGCAGUGGGGAAUAUUGCACAAUGGGCGAAAGCCUGAUGCAGCGACGCCGCGUGAGGGAUGACGGCCUUCGGGUUGUAAACCUCUUUCAGCAGGGAAGAAGCGCAAGUGACGGUACCUGCAGAAGAAGCGCCGGCUAACUACGUGCCAGCAGCCGCGGCG